UUUCAUUUUCUUUGAUGAUCCAUUUUGGAGCAGUUUUAUUACUGCUAUAUUUUGUUGGCUGUGUGAAUAAAGGAAAAGGGAGAAAAAGCAUGCAUUUGGUGUGAAACUGGAGACCAGAUGUCUUAGCCUGAAUUCCAAUUACUACCAGUCACUCUGUGCCAGACUCCACAGAAAGCACAGUCGGCACAUUGUGUGAGGCGAAAGCUGAGUCUCACAAACUGGAUGGUUGAGGAGAUCUGUCUGGGCUUGACACACAAAGCUUCUGCUGUGAAAAACUUAAUCCCAGGGGUUUUAUGAAUGUAUGUAAUUAUGCUUGCAUCACCUGAGAAUGGCAACAGCGACUACCAGUGGCCAAUGAAGUAUCCAGUGGCUGAAGAGGUUCAAUUGCAGGCACCUCAAGUUGAAGAUAUGCUGACUGGAAUUCUUGUUUCAAGAAACAACCAACAAAUAAGAGAAAUAAAGGAAGCUUACCAAGCAGCCAAGUUUGAAGGAGAAGGGGGGAACUGGAGGGCAAGGAAGGUGACUGAAAACAUGAUGGAAAAGAUUGAUCUUAAGUGCAUGGUCACCCUGUGCUGAAGGAAACAAAUAUCUGUGCUGUAGCUCAGUUGGUAACCAGAGCAAUGAGGGAAAGAGAAGAGAAACUGGUGGUAACCCAGGUAACUUCUCAUAUUGGACGCCAAGAGGCUGAUUUAUCUUUGGAUAAUUAACCAGAAAUUGGGAGACUGAUGGUCCAUAAGAAUGUCCUGCGGCUAAUAAUAUGCCUCAUAUUGAUUCCUGACUUGCCAGAUGAAAGUACUAAUGAGGAAUAAAUAAGUUAUUUACUGUUCAGCUUGCACUGAGGAACAUUUAUGUGCAAGUAACAGUGAAGGAGAAUAAUGGGGAAUACAAUGUAUUGGAAUCUGUCUGUCAAUGAUUGGAAUCAUAAAGCUCAAUAUCUCUUUCGUUUUAGUCUUUUACUUUUUCAAUCACUCUCUCAUUGUUUCAUUUUUUCCUACUCUUGCUCCUUUGCUCUCUUUCUGUAUGUCUCAUUCUCUUAUUGUUGUUCUCACUCUCUCUCUUAGUCCCUCAUUCUUUUCCCUCUCUCUUUCUCUCUCUCCCUUCAUUUGAAUGUUGAACCCCAUUAAAUCUCUCCCCACUCAAUCAGUGAUGGCUCCCACUAAUUUCUUCAUAUCCUCUCCUCUUCCCCCAUCCAGUUCCUUUCCCACUCCAUUCUCCAUCCCUGUCUAGGUUCCCUUGAGUUCAAGCGCACUGUAGAUGAAGCUUUCUUCCUGUGUGCCCCUGGCCUGACCCUGAGGUAACCCUACAGUAGAUUAUUAACCAUCCAUCACCAAUUGCAUGUGCAGGAAGAAAGUUUCUGCUAGGAAAAUUAGAAGUUUCCACAUUAGCUCACAAUUUUCAGUUGUCAGUACAGCCAUUCACACUGAGAAUUUGGCUUCGUCUUUCGGAUGUUUUAUUUAUUGCCUUCAGAGAUACCCAUAGUUUGAAUGUUUUAUGGUGUGUUUAUAGUUUCACGAUGAAUCAGCAUGAAUUCACAAAACAUGCAGUAUAAAGUAGGGUUGGGCAGCACUGUUCACAAGUGAAUCAUCCCGAUCCCUGAGCCAAGUCCAUCCAGAGGAGGCGGUUUUAGUAGCACUUUGAUUGGCACACGAGCACUGUAAACACAAGGCUGUGAAUCUGGCUCUGCUUCCAAAUAGUCCCUUAAAAGUUUUUGUGUGGUCUGCUUUCAAGUGACCAUUUUUUAAUGUUAUUAAACUUGUGCGUACGCAGAACUCUGCGAUCGGGUGCUAUUCUUUUAUUGAUUGUCUCGUCAGCCCCGGGCUGACUUUAUGAGAGGCAGAGUGCAUAAAUCAGGCCUCACCUUUCCACAGUGCUCUGUCUCUGGAAGCAAUAGCACUUUGCUUGCAGCAUUAUAAAGAGGCCAUUAAUCCCAAGGGAUGAUGUGGGCCUCCCCCAUAUAUAUGGCAAGAUGGUUUAAGGUUCAUUGCGCCAAUCGCUUUUACAAGAGAUGUUCAAUGUGAAAUGUGUCGAAUCUGAAGGCCUGAAAUUCCACUUAUUCUUAGCGUAUAAUAACAAGGAUGCACACUCCACCUCACUGACCCAGUCUGGUACCAGUUCAAUUGUAGACAGCAAGACCAAGUGCGGAGCUGCAGGCAGUCGGUCGCGGCACCCGGCGAGUGUUGCUGUGUAAUGCUAUCAAGCUAUGUAAUGUAAUAAAAACUUUUGCCUGCUGU
Long non-coding RNA from Callorhinchus milii (elephant shark), 2231 nucleotides. RefSeq lists it as uncharacterized. The transcript has 6 exons. The record is from RefSeq and is a predicted model, not a curated record. NCBI's taxonomy places the organism in Eukaryota, Metazoa, Chordata, Chondrichthyes, Chimaeriformes, Callorhinchidae.